GACGAACGCUGGCGGCGUGCUUAACACAUGCAAGUCGAACGGAAAGGCCCUGCUUUUGUGGGGUGCUCGAGUGGCGAACGGGUGAGUAACACGUGAGUAACCUGCCCUUGACUUUGGGAUAACUUCAGGAAACUGGGGCUAAUACCGGAUAGGAGCUCCUGCUGCAUGGUGGGGGUUGGAAAGUUUCGGCGGUUGGGGAUGGACUCGCGGCUUAUCAGCUUGUUGGUGGGGUAGUGGCUUACCAAGGCUUUGACGGGUAGCCGGCCUGAGAGGGUGACCGGCCACAUUGGGACUGAGAUAAGGCCCAGACUCCUACGGGAGGCAGCAGUGGGGAAUAUUGCACAAUGGGCGGAAGCCUGAUGCAGCAACGCCGCGCGCGGGAUGACGGCCUUCGGGUUGUAAACCGCUUUCGCCUGUGACGAAGCGUGAGUGACGGUAAUGGGUAAAGAAGCACCGGCUAACUACGUG
This 468-nucleotide ribosomal RNA is filed under the name uncultured bacterium. RNAcentral describes it as "partial 16S ribosomal RNA". It matches the Rfam family "Bacterial small subunit ribosomal RNA", at positions 28 to 507 of the family's 1533-position model. The record is from RNAcentral.